RNAcentral lists this ribosomal RNA (400 nucleotides) under uncultured bacterium. RNAcentral describes it as "bacterial SSU rRNA". It matches the Rfam family "Bacterial small subunit ribosomal RNA", at positions 381 to 796 of the family's 1533-position model. The record is from RNAcentral.
CCUUGAUCCAGCCAUGCCCGCGUGAGUGAUGAAGGCCUUCGGGUUGUAAAGCUCUUUUGGCGGGGACGAUGAUGACGGUACCCGCAGAAUAAGCCCCGGCUAACUUCGUGCCAGCAGCCGCGGUAAGACGAAGGGGGCUAGCGUUGUUCGGAAUUACUGGGCGUAAAGCGAGUGUAGGUGGUUGUCAUAGUCAGGUGUGAAAGCCUUGAGCUCAACUCAAGAAAUGCACUUGAUACUGGGCGACUAGAGGACCGGAGAGGAUAGUGGAAUUCCCAGUGUAGUGGUGAAAUACGUAGAGAUUGGGAAAAACACCAGUGGCGAAGNCGGCUAUCUGGACGGUUUCUGACACUAAGACUCGAAAGCGUGGGGGAGCAAACAGGAUUAGAUACCCUGGUAGUCC